AUGGGAACGCGAAGAACCUUACCUAGACUUGACAUCUUCUGCAUUAAUCGUAAUGGAUGAAAUCCCUUCGGGGACAGAAUGACAGGUGGUGCAUGGUUGUCGUCAGCUCGUGUCGUGAGAUGUUGGGUUAAGUCCCGCAACGAGCGCAACCCCUAUUAUUAGUUGCUAACAUUAAGUUGAGCACUCUAGUGAGACUGCCCGGGUUAACCGGGAGGAAGGUGGGGAUGACGUCAAAUCAUCAUGCCCCUUAUGUCUAGGGCUACACACGUGCUACAAUGGUGGGAACAAAGAGAUGCAAUACCGCGAGGUGGAGCUAAACUCAAAACCCCAUCCCAGUUCGGAUUGUAGGCUGAAACUCGCCUACAUGAAGCUGGAGUUGCUAGUAAUCGCGAAUCAGAAUGUCGCGGUGAAUACGUUCCCGGGUCUUGUACACACCG
RNAcentral lists this ribosomal RNA (437 nucleotides) under uncultured bacterium. RNAcentral describes it as "bacterial SSU rRNA". It matches the Rfam family "Bacterial small subunit ribosomal RNA", at positions 954 to 1392 of the family's 1533-position model. The record is from RNAcentral.